GUUUUGUUUACUUUGCUGUAUUCUUAAAAUAUUGAAUUACCUGUUGAUAUUUAACAUGGAACACUUUUACAUAAAUAUCCAGAAUUUAGACCUCUCUUGGAAAAGAAAAGAAAUGCGGCAACCAGCAUAGGCCUGUAUUUACCAUGUGGCUGUGUGCACCUCCCACUUCACCUGCUGGGCCCCGGAAGGCAUUUGCGUUUCCCACCGCUGAUCAGGAACAGGAGUUUGUUCAUCUGGCAAAGAGACUGGUUAGUGAUCCUGCAUUAGAAAAGGAAAUCGUAGUGAACGGAAGGGAAUACGUGAGAAUGUAUCAUUCAUGGCAGGUGGAAAGAGACACCUACCAACAGCUCAUCAGGAAGCUGGAAGGAAGCACUGAAGAUUGAGGGCCCCGCCUCAUCAGACACCUGCUCUCUGACACACAGCUCUGGGUGCACACUCAGAGACAGAGUUCUGGAUCACGUGGGCCCAGUGCAGUUCAAAUAAAACCAGCCUCAGCGGAAUCCUAGAAAAUGUUAGUCGUGAGUCCCCAGAGCCACUGCAUUCAUCCCAUAUCCUUCUGUGCGUUCAGAUGCUGUCCCAGGCGUGUUCACCAGCCAGUCCUGAUGGAGGUGCAUGAGUGACUGGGUUGACUGGGACAGGGAAAGGGGAACUGGUUUUCAGGGAAUUUGGGAGAGAAUUUGAUUACCUGCCUUAGGGCUUUGGUGUGGACAAUAGAGGCUUAUUUUCAAGCAGUCAUGGUUCAGACUCCUCCCGCCUGCCUUCUGACCAACCUCUCCCCAUCGUUGCCAGUUUGAAAGGCAAAAGCAAAACAGACGUGUCAGCUGAGCCGAGUCCUCGCAGGAUUUUUGUUGUGAUCUCAGGACUCUGACAGGCACGUGGGUGACCCGAGGCUUCUCUGAACACUAGAAAGCGCUGUGAGUGAGCUCACGCCCGGCACAGCUCACUUUUCAAUGGUGGAAUUGAAAGUUGUGCUUUUUAGAAAAGUGGCCAGGCUGCCCGCAGGCCCCGCCCACCUCUUGGCUGAAUUUGAGUGGAAAACCAGGAAGGAACAAGCGCCACGUCACGCAUAGCCUGCAAAUCGCCCGCGUGACCCUGAGAUGGAGGCCUGAGGCUUUGGGUCCAGGGUGGGCUCUUCCCCUUCCCACAUCAGGGACCCGGGGAUGGAUGUCGGAAGGGUCACCAGCCUCCAGCCUUUGGCAGGAUGGAGCUUGGGUCUGCAGGGCUUUGCAGCCACACAGCGAGGUCAGUCCGGGGCCAGCCGCGCCAUCAUGGUAAUGGUGGCCUCGCCCCAUCCAUGUCAUCCAUGUCACAUGAGGACGUGCAGUCUUCCUUGUCCUCUCCUAGUGGAAUUUGCCUGGGAGAACCUCCACUGAAUACUGAAAUUGUUGCAUGCCUGUGGAUUCCUUACGACAAUGGGGAACGCGGUGUUUCCCACCUCUUGUGGGUAGAAAGCAGUCUGCUUUGAGGAGGCGAGAAGGCAAAGCCAGGGCAGGGCGUUGCUGUGGGAAGCGUUCGGUGAAAGCGGGUUUCGACGCUUAGGAGGGCCGAGGGAGAAGAUUCCACCAGCAUUGUCCUUGCUUCAAGUUUUAGGAUGUCUGAACUUUCAGCUUUCAUGUUUUCAACCAUCAUUUUUUUAAUGGCACAACCUACAUCUUGUUUUUAAAAGAAGUAGCCUCAAAUUAAACUCCUUAAACUCUGAUGCCCUGGGGAUGAGAACAACUAGCUUGGAUCUCGUGCCGUGUAAUUCAAUGUUUCAUUCCGCUGCCUCCAUCAUGUAAUAGAAUCGCUUUCCAGAAAGGCAGUUAACUGGAAGCAGCAGAGGCUCCCAGCCGUGAGAGGACUGCUCAACAAUGCCCCCCAUCGCCGCCCCCCCACCCCUCGCACCCCUUGUGUUUUCCCUCUGAGGGGCCCAAGGGUUAUGGCUUUCAUGUCUAGGUGUGGGGACAGAGGAGGGAGAGGCAGAUCCUGGGCCGGGAGAGGAUGGCCUGGUCUGAAUCUGGAGUAAUUAAUGCCACCCAAAGAAAAGGCCCUGCCAGGUCCAAUGUUGUCUUAGAUCUGAUGAUGCUGCUAUUUACAAAACACUGAUCGUCCGAAAGCUUGAAUCUGUUCCUCCUCGAAUGACCCUGUAGAUGCCUGACCUCCACCGUACCUCCACAUCACUAUUCAUGUCCUUCUAGGAAAAUGUGCACAUGCCUCACGCACUAUGUGGGAAGGGCGUGUUUUUAAAUUAAUAAAGUGUGUC
RNAcentral lists this long non-coding RNA (2242 nucleotides) under Homo sapiens (human). Its description in RNAcentral is "HSALNT0197302". The record is from RNAcentral. Lineage: Eukaryota; Metazoa; Chordata; Mammalia; Primates; Hominidae.